AGUGAACGCUGGCGGUAGGCCUAACACAUGCAAGUCGAACGGCAGCACAGUAAGAGCUUGCUCUUACGGGUGGCGAGUGGCGGACGGGUGAGGAAUACAUCGGAAUCUACUUUUUCGUGGGGGAUAACGUAGGGAAACUUACGCUAAUACCGCAUACGACCUACGGGUGAAAGCAGGGGAUCUUCGGACCUUGCGCGAUUGAAUGAGCCGAUGUCGGAUUAUCUAGUUGGCGGGGUAAAGGCCCACCAAGGCGACGAUCCGUAGCUGGUCUGAGAGGAUGAUCAGCCACACUGGAACUGAGACACGGUCCAGACUCCUACGGGAGGCAGCAGUGGGGAAUAUUGGACAAUGGGCGCAAGCCUGAUCCAGCCAUACCGCGUGGGUGAAGAAGGCCUUCGGGUUGUAAAGCCCUUUUGUUGGGAAAGAAAAGCAGCAGGUUAAUACCCCGCUGUUCUGACGGUACCCAAAGAAUAAGCACCGGCUAACUUCGU
RNAcentral lists this ribosomal RNA (491 nucleotides) under uncultured bacterium. Its description in RNAcentral is "partial 16S ribosomal RNA". It matches the Rfam family "Bacterial small subunit ribosomal RNA", at positions 29 to 506 of the family's 1533-position model. The record is from RNAcentral.